This 240-nucleotide unclassified non-coding RNA is filed under the name soil metagenome. RNAcentral's name for it is "partial contains 5.8S ribosomal RNA, internal transcribed spacer 2, and large subunit ribosomal RNA". The record is from RNAcentral.
AAGACUAUAGACCUGCGGAGUACCUGCGGAGGGAUCAUUACCGAGUAUCGGGUGCUCUCGCGCCCUACUCCCACCCUAUGCUUAUCUAUAACUGUUGCUUUGGCGGGCCGGUGGGUCACUCACCGCCGGGCGGCGCCUGGAGAGCGCCCGCCAGAGGACCAAGCAAAACUCUUUAGUCAACAUGUCGCAUCUGAGCACGCGAGAAUGAACAAAACUUUUAACAACGGAUCUCUAGAUCGG